CCCUUAGAUGUUCUGGGCCGCACGCGCGCUACACUGACAGAGCCAACGAGUUUUUCUCCUUGACCGAAAGGUCUGGGUAAUCUUGUUAAACUCUGUCGUGCUGGGGAUAGAGCAUUGCAAUUAUUGCUCUUCAACGAGGAAUGCCUAGUAAGCGCAAGUCAUCAGCUUGCGUUGAUUACGUCCCUGCCUUUUGUACACACCGCCCGUCGCUACUACCGAUUGAAUGGCUAAGUGAGGCUUUCGGACUGCCUUAGGGAGGGUGGCAACACCCACCCAGAGGCGGAAAGUUAUCCAAACUUGGUCAUUUAGAGGAAGUAAAANUCGUAACA
This 329-nucleotide ribosomal RNA is filed under the name uncultured eukaryote. Its description in RNAcentral is "partial 18S ribosomal RNA". It matches the Rfam family "Eukaryotic small subunit ribosomal RNA", at positions 1470 to 1796 of the family's 1831-position model. The record is from RNAcentral.